CCUACGGGUGGCAGCAGUGGGGAAUAUUGGACAAUGGGCGAAAGCCUGAUCCAGCCAUGCCGCGUGUGUGAAGAAGGCCUUCGGGUUGUAAAGCACUUUCAGUGGGGAAGAAAGCCUUGGGGCUAAUACCCUCGAGGAAGGACAUCACCCACAGAAGAAGCACCGGCUAACUCCGUGCCAGCGGCCGCGGUAAUACGGAGGGUGCGAGCGUUAAUCGGAAUUACUGGGCGUAAAGCGCGCGUAGGCGGUCUGAUAAGCCGGUUGUGAAAGCCCCGGGCUCAACCUGGGAACGGCAUCCGGAACUGUCAGGCUAGAGUGCAGGAGAGGAAGGUAGAAUUCCCGGUGUAGCGGUGAAAUGCGUAGAGAUCGGGAGGAAUACCAGUGGCGAAGGCGGCCUUCUGGACUGACACUGACGCUGAGGUGCGAAAGCGUGGGUAGCAAACAGGAUUAGAUACCCGAGUAGUC
This 465-nucleotide ribosomal RNA is filed under the name Vreelandella stevensii. Its description in RNAcentral is "partial 16S ribosomal RNA". It matches the Rfam family "Bacterial small subunit ribosomal RNA", at positions 338 to 795 of the family's 1533-position model. The record is from RNAcentral. Lineage: Bacteria; Pseudomonadati; Pseudomonadota; Gammaproteobacteria; Oceanospirillales; Halomonadaceae.